CAGUCUUCAAGUGCAAUGAGUUAAUUGCUUCUGAGACAGCAAGCAGGCAUCUACAACUUCCAAGAGUUUGUAAAACCACUAAACAAAGGUCCCAAAAAAGUAACAUUAAUUGAUGGCACCAAGACAUGAACCCCCAGACAAGCUGUACUGAAUUACCAGAGUAGAUGACUAGAAGCUCUCAGACCGCUCUGUGCAGAUUCUGCACAGAGCAACUGUAUAGAACUGGGAAGAGUCCAGCAAAAGAGGAGCAGAAAAAGGAAACAACAUUCCAUAAAUGCUGGCGAUGUGAACUUAUGCUGUAGUCCAGGAAACAAAACAUACAACAAAUUCCUGAAGGGGUGGAAAUUUCAGCUGGUAAACAAGUCCCUCUGAAACCAUGCAUAGGAGAAAGAAGAAAGGAAGUCUUGGAAUCUAAUGACUAAGUCUCUUGACAAAACCCUGGCUUGCUCUUGGUCCCAGAGACAUGAAGGUGCUUCAUAAAGGACUCUGAUUAUCUCUUCAAAUGUCUACUUUCUUCCUUCAAUAUUCCACACAGAUAGCAGUAGGAAAAAAGAAACCUGAGUUACCAGAUGUAACAAUGUCUAAAACCUGACUUUAAUAUGGAAGGACUGCAUCCAUACCACCUUCCACCAAUUCUCAUCAAGAAAGCACCUUCUUGAUCCUUAAGAUGCUACCCAAAGACUGUUGUCUAGCUCUCCUCUUUUUCAACUGCAGUUCACAUCUAUAGAUUCAACACUAGACUAGAAAAGCCCUGACAACUGACAUGAAUGGACUCCUGAUAUUUUAGCAACUUAGCAGACAAAUCAAUUACAUACUGCUGAAGUUAACCACAUCUUACCUUCCCAUGUGCAUUGGAGCAUCAUGUCUUCAAGGAGUCCAAAGAAAGCUACAGGUAGUCUGGUUUCUAGGCUUCUCAUGACCUAAGUCUACUUGCUGAUACUCAAUAGUCUUCUCAAGACUUAUGGAGAAGGUGGAGCUGAGCUG
Molecule: long non-coding RNA, 984 nt
Organism: Mastomys coucha (southern multimammate mouse)
Lineage: Eukaryota; Metazoa; Chordata; Mammalia; Rodentia; Muridae
Exons: 4
Source: RefSeq, a predicted model, not a curated record